Ooceraea biroi (clonal raider ant) is the source of this 2281-nucleotide long non-coding RNA. RefSeq lists it as uncharacterized. The record is from RefSeq and is a predicted model, not a curated record. NCBI's taxonomy places the organism in Eukaryota, Metazoa, Arthropoda, Insecta, Hymenoptera, Formicidae.
UAACUUGAGAAAUUGAUAACAGAACACCACGAGCUGCGCGAGGCAAGUCACAUUCGGAGUAUUCUCUUCCGCAUUUUAUUCUCUUUCCAAACAGAAGUGGCAGUUCACGUACAACGGCACCACACAAACAAACUGUGAGACGCGCUAAAUCUCUGGCACCUCUCGAAAAUCACCGAUCUCUCUCACGGCCAGCCAAGAACUGCUUUAAACCCACCGAAGCUGACGAGCUUCAUCUUCCGAUUCCCGAAGCGCAUAAAACGCAAUCUUAGCGACAUCCACGAGGAAAUAGCUCGGAGUAGGGACAGCGGAAUGAUUGCACGAAGAGGCAAUUGUCACGUAAAGAGGAAAACGUGGCACCUCAAUUCGAAAAAUGCCAUGCGCGAUUACGGCGAUCAAUUAAGACCGCGCGGCGGUUCAUCACUAAUUCAUAACGAAUUAAAUGACCAAGGAAAUUGUCAGUGGUGCCGAGGCGAGAUCGCCGCUCGUGCGCCGAUACCGUGAUGCGUCCUGCGAUAAUACGCGAAAGUAUCGAUAUCACCCACGCGUGUUGCGCUUUGAUACAGCCGGCAAGAGAGAGGAUGUCGCACUACGGCGGAAUUGUCAUCGAGUGAACUUUAUUAACGUCUCUCGAGAUAAUGAUCUGUCGAUCCUUUAUUGGCCAACGCCGCGAACAUAUUUGUGCCAAUUACAAGAAACGCAUGGUUAUUACUUUCGCUGAUACGAGUUUACGGUUAUUACGGAAUUAAGCGGAUCAAGCGGAUGAUACAUCCAUCCCGCGGCCGCGCAUAUCGCUCAAUCCGACAAAGAAGCGCGCAUGCCUUUUUGCAAAUCGCUGCAGCGUACGAGAAAUUAUUUAUUACUCGAUUCGCCGCAAAAUAUACGAUGCUUACGCUGCUACUCAUUAAUAGUCAAUCGUUUAAAAUCGCUCGUUUUCCUCGUUUUUUGCUUUGCUGCUAAUCGGCUAUUAAGAUAUCUUGAGAUGGCGAACAUAGGAAGUGUCUCUGAUUAUUAAUAGACGAUUACGUAUUGUUACGUUUUAGUAUAUAUAGUGAGUGGUUCACCACACGGUUAUAAAUAAAUACACUUGACGUAUAGUGUCGCGCAGCGAUUGUUGUAACUCGCGUUCUGCGCGGCAUUCGUGCCUCAGAGCGCUUUAAAAUGCAUCAAAGCGCGGAAUCCAUCAAUCAUCGAGGUGGUUGCGCGCGAGGUGAUUGUGGCGUGUCGUGAGGAGCACAACAGGCGAUCGGCAAAGAACCGUGACGUCUGCGUAGGCCGAAGCCAGGAGCUGUUCAAACAAAAACGCGAUCUGUCUGCGCCGAAAUUGAGAUUGAAGGAAAAAACCCGUUGCGUUGCUGUGAUGUUAGAUAAUUGCGAUAAUUCCGAUCGCAGCCGGCACCGGUUUUUCACGCGCGAUGGAAGUUAACGUGCGAUCGCACGUGCCGCUCGAAAAGCCGGUCAGGGAUAUCCACUUACGUCAAUUUUUUUAGCUGCGAUUACGCCAACCUAGGAUGAAUGUGGACCAUUAGGAUCGUCGUGCGUGUCGGAUGCCGAAAGCGUUGUAAUUACGAAAGCGCGCGCUUUAUGGUAUCCAAUGCCGUCACGAAACGGUCGUUAAUGUUAACUGACGUUAACAUUAGCUCAAACUGCAACCGUACGAUCGGUAAGGCUCGAUGCUGCUUAUUUUAUUCAAACAGUAUCGAAGUAUUCAGAAAAAAAGAUUCGCAGAGCUAAUGAUUGCACGUUGAAUUUUGACGAGCUCUGUCAAGUUCUUCGGUCCGUGGCGCGUAUCUUCUCGAUCUUCUGGAUACGCAUGCUCAUGCACGCGAGAUACGCGCGAUUGCAAGUCAGAGCGUAACGACAGACACACUGUCGGACGUUACUGUAACAAACGGCCUCCUCCGUGACUUGCGUUAACAUAAUAACGAGGAGAAUAAAGAGAGACAGAAGGAGAGAAAGAGAUGAUGGUCUUGGACUUGACAAAGGCCCCGGAGACGAUGGGAAAACACGACAAUCGAGUCGCGCGCGUGAGCGUGCACUAUGGAUUGUUUCGCGAAUGGUCCCAUCGCGAUUCCCACUCGCGUCGAGAUCCGGCCGCCGAACUUGCUCCAAUAUCUAGUGUCACGAGUGUUGCGACCUACUUUCGCGUCCCACUAAUGGUGGCCCAUAUUUUCAUCUUAUCGUGCGUUUUGCGAGCUAAAAAAACAGUAUCUUCUGAGUUGAAUCGAGAGUCUAUAAAGAGAUACGCACUGAAUUCAACUGUCCCAAUAAACGACCAACAAGU